CUACGGGCCGCACCAGUGGGGAAUUUUGGACAAUGGGCGCAAGCCUGAUCCAUCAAUGCCGCGUGCAGGAUGAAGGCCUUCGGGUUGUAAACUGCUUUUGUACGGAGCGAAAAGGCUUCCACUAAUACUGGGGGCUCAUGACGGUACCGUAAGAAUAAGCACCGGCUAACUAUGUGCCAGCAGCCGCGGUAAUACGUAGGGUGCGAGCGUUAAUCGGAAUUACUGGGCGUAAAGCGUGCGCAGGCGGUCUUGUAAGACAGGUGUGAAAUCCCCGGGCUUAACCUGGGAACUGCACUUGUGACUGCAAGGCUGGAGUACGGCAGAGGGGGAUGGAAUUCCGCGUGUAGCAGUGAAAUGCGUAGAUAUGCGGAGGAACACCGAUGGCGAAGGCAAUCCCCUGGGCCUGUACUGACGCUCAUGCACGAAAGCGUGGGGAGCAAACAGGAUUAGAUACCCCCGUAGUC
RNAcentral lists this ribosomal RNA (464 nucleotides) under uncultured bacterium. RNAcentral's name for it is "partial 16S ribosomal RNA". It matches the Rfam family "Bacterial small subunit ribosomal RNA", at positions 339 to 795 of the family's 1533-position model. The record is from RNAcentral.